UACGUAGGAUGCAAGCGUUGUCCGGAUUCACUGGGUGUAAAGGGAGCGCCGGCGGGUUUACAAGUCGGUGGUUAAAUCUCACAGCUUAACUGUGAAAUUGCCGUCGAUACUGUUUACCUUGAGUGUGGAAAAGGGUGAUAGAAUUCAUGGUGUAGCGGUGAAAUGCGUAGAUAUCAUGAAGAAUACCAGUCGCGAAGGCGGUCACCUGGUCCAUUACUGACGCUCAUGCUCGAAAGUGUGGGGAGCAAACAGG
RNAcentral lists this ribosomal RNA (253 nucleotides) under uncultured bacterium. Its description in RNAcentral is "partial 16S ribosomal RNA". It matches the Rfam family "Bacterial small subunit ribosomal RNA", at positions 524 to 776 of the family's 1533-position model. The record is from RNAcentral.